UGGUUUUUAGCCUCGUUCCAUUUCGUAAAAACAGUAAUAGCGUCCAAAUCUUGUGCCACAUCUGCAAGGUAAAAAACAAUUACAGCACUUCGUUAGUGAUCCAUUCUUUUUAAAUCGCUUAUACGCAAGUCCAAUCAGAUAAUGUUUCAGUCCCAAUCUGGCGUAUUUCCAUUGAAUAUAGUCCCCCUCAACCUCAACCUGUUCCACAUUUCUGCCGAAAACGUACGAGUGCCAAAAAUCUGCCGGGUCGAACGUUCCAUACUUAUCUUCCAAGUCUUGAAUGAUUUCAUCCAACGUGUCCUGAACCUUAUCGUCAAUUUCAGUCGGCAAGGAGUCAAACGCUUUCUCAGUCACUCUUGAACCUCUGACCGUUAAACUCGUGAAUACAAUAAAAAACAAUAUGAUAACCGCGAUUCUCCACGAUAAGUUCAUUCUUGUUCUUGACAUCGUAAACUUUAUGUUUUGUUUAUUUCGAUUCACGAAGGGAGGGUUGCACCGUGAAAUGUGAACCAGCAGUCAGCAGUCAACUUCACACCGCUGAGGAUGCUACUAAUCCAACUCGAUGUACUCAAGUUAAGAGAUGUGUGAUGAAUAAUGAUGACUGGAUUUUUCAGUCAGUACUUCUAAUGAAUACGCCCAUUAUUAGUGCUGAUUACAAAAUUCUACCAAAAAAUUUAUUAGUUAUUAUUGGAAAUGAGAACUGAUGAAUGAAAUGAAUAUGUACACCCAUUAAAACAUUAUUAUUCUUUGAAAUGAUUAUAUUUAUUCAUGGUGUGAUGUGUAUCAUUUCAUUAACGUAUUCACUGAUAUCUUUAAUCGUAA
Folsomia candida is the source of this 822-nucleotide long non-coding RNA. RefSeq lists it as uncharacterized. The record is from RefSeq and is a predicted model, not a curated record. The transcript is spliced from 3 exons. NCBI's taxonomy places the organism in Eukaryota, Metazoa, Arthropoda, Collembola, Entomobryomorpha, Isotomidae.